Molecule: ribosomal RNA, 491 nt
Filed under: uncultured bacterium
Lineage: Bacteria
Description: partial 16S ribosomal RNA
Rfam family: Bacterial small subunit ribosomal RNA
Source: RNAcentral
GUGAACGCUGGCGGUAGGCCUAACACAUGCAGGUCGCACGGCAGCACAGUAAGAGCUUGCUCUUACGGGUGGCGAGUGGCGGACGGGUGAGGAAUACAUCGGAAUCUACUUUUUCGUGGGGGAUAACGUAGGGAAACUUACGCUAAUACCGCAUACGACCUACGGGUGAAAGCAGGGGAUCUUCGGACCUUGCGCGAUUGAAUGAGCCGAUGUCGGAUUAGCUAGUUGGCGGGGUAAAGGCCCACCAAGGCGACGAUCCGUAGCUGGUCUGAGAGGAUGAUCAGCCACACUGGAACUGAGACACGGUCCAGACUCCUACGGGAGGCAGCAGUGGGGAAUAUUGGACAAUGGGCGCAAGCCUGAUCCAGCCAUACCGCGUGGGUGAAGAAGGCCUUCGGGUUGUAAAGCCCUUUUGUUGGGAAAGAAAAGCAGCAGGUUAAUACCCCGCUGUUCUGACGGUACCCAAAGAAUAAGCACCGGCUAACUUCGUG